UGCUACGUUGGAAACAUUAUU
RNAcentral lists this non-coding RNA (21 nucleotides) under Caenorhabditis elegans. Lineage: Eukaryota; Metazoa; Nematoda; Chromadorea; Rhabditida; Rhabditidae. The record is from RNAcentral.